Molecule: long non-coding RNA, 3237 nt
Filed under: Eucalyptus grandis
Lineage: Eukaryota; Viridiplantae; Streptophyta; Magnoliopsida; Myrtales; Myrtaceae
Description: long non-coding RNA (EGRA_LNC000708)
Source: RNAcentral
ACCUAACGAGCAUACAAACAACAGAUUCAAUUUAAAAAACAACAUUUACUAUCAUUCAGGUACAUGCUGUUGAGACCAGAUCAAGUGCUUUGGAUCUUCACAAGCAUCAAAACUUCCUCAGAACAUUUUGCUUGGCCCACGAUGUCACGCCCCAACCCUCAGGCAUGCACACAUCCCUUACUUAUGGUCGAUUUUAAAAUGCGAUAUCCCAGGACUAUGUAUCGCCAACCCUUUCAAUUAUAUAUGCACAUGCGGAAGCAGUUAUAAAUCCCCAGACAAUAAAGCAAUGGGAUAGAAAAGCAUGCCAUACAUUUUUCUUACUGAAAAUUCACAACUACAUCUUUUUACAUGCAAACAAAGUCUGACAAGACAGGAUAGGAUUUCGGUCCUCAUCCGGGUCGUACUCGAUGUCAUACUCGGGGUCCUCCUCCACGUACUCCUCUUUGGGUUCCUCAACAGGGAUCUCCUCAUCAGAUUCAUGCUCCUUAGGCUCCUCAUCCAGGUCCUGAAAUGGGUAUUCAAUAACCACUGAGACCACGUGUCAGCAAGUUCUACUUCCUAAGACUCGAUUAGUAAACUAAUACACCUUAGGGCUGCCUAUGCACAACAUGAAUUAGAAGACUUACCUUAGCCUCAGAUUCCACCUGCAUAUUAGUACAGAUCGAAUAGGCACACAAGCAAUCACAUCACAGAUCGAAGCAUCGAUUUAAUCGACUUAGUCGAUUUCACAACAGGAAGACCACUCACGAUCAUCUCCCUUCAAUCAUUCAAUUCACAACAUCAAAUCAAGGCAAUGCAUCACAUCAAAACACACUCAGAUCGAAUCAUCGAUCAAUCGACCUAGUCGAUUACAAGCCAGACGGAUCAUUUCUAGGUCCUUCAUCCAACACCAAGCAAUUCCUUAGAUUUAGUGGCUUUACGGUCCCACCUGACCCUCUCAAGAACUAGUGGCUUUUCGGUCCCACCCGACCCUCUCGAGAACUAGUGGCUUUACGGUCCCACCCGACCCUCUCGAGAACUAGUGGCUUUUCGGUCCCACCCGACCCUCUCGAGAACUAAUGGCUUUACGGUCCCACCCGACCCUCUCGAGAACUAGUGGCUUUACGGUCCCACCCGACCCUCUCAAGAUGCCAUACUAUGUCACCGAGCCACGUGCAUUCUCCAGGAAGACAUACCGAGUCUCCGAGCCACGUGCAUUCUCUAAGGCUACCUUUUCGCCAAGAUGACAUAUCUAAUCACCGAGCCACGUGUCUUUCCCAAGUAACAUUCCAAUUCACUGGGCCACAUGCAUCCUCAAGGUGAUUUACCAACUCACUUUCGAUACUAACAACCGAUAUCUGACCAAUUCUCAAUAACAAGGCCAAAAUUGCAUUAUUUAAUAACAUACUUAGAAAUGCACCAUUAAAUCAAUUCGACACGAAUUAAAGCUCAAAUAAAUAAACGGACUGCUCCACGACAAUCAGUACGAAAUUCCAGUCACUGGCCAUCCCAGUUGAAUUUCCGGAAAAUAAAUAAUUAAAUAAUUAAUUUCGAAAAUUAAAUAAAUAAAUACAAUAAAUUCAAUUUAGCACAAUAUAAAGCUCAAUUAAAUAAAUGGACUGCGCCACGAUCAUCAGCAUAAAAUCCCGGUAACUAGCCAUCCCAGUUGAAUUUCCGAGAAAUAAAUAUUAAAUAAUUAAUUUCGAAAAUUAAUAUUUAAUUCCUAAAAAUACCACCUAGGCCCGAAUUGCUUAAUUAACACCCGAUAAGGGACGGGAAAAAUCCCAAGAAGCAUCCAAUAAAUACUACAUGCAAUUCUCUAUCUAAUUACACUAAUUACAUCACUAAUAUACAAAGCAAUUAACUAAUAAUCCCUAAUCCAUUCUAAUCUAACAACCUAAUUACACUUAAUUAACACUAAUCAACCGUUAAGUAUAAUUAGCACACCAAGAAGGCAUUAGUGAGUAAAACUCACACAAAACGACGGGCUCGACGCGAGGAUCAACUUUCCUCAAAGCGGGCCGAGCAUCCGGGCUCGGGAAGGCGGCCAAAACGGGCCAAAACCUCACUGCAAACCCAUUUCUACAAUCCUCUGAUCGCUGCUGGUCGGGGCAGAUUUGGGGCCGGUUGAGGCGGCCAAGGGCGGCUGAGGGCGAGGCGGAGCUCCGGCGAGGCUGACGGUGGCCGGAGGAGGUCAGGCGGUGGCCGGAGGCGGCUGAUCGGGACUUAACAGAGGCGGAACAGGGGUUGGGUCGCAUAGCGGGGACGGGAGGCGCGAGCGUGAGGCGGUGGAGCGCGCGGCGUUGCGCGGGCGGCGGUGCGGCAACUCCGGUGCGACGGCGUCCAAGCAGCUGGUCGCGGCUCCUUCCGACGACGCUGGAAGCUGCUUCUGCUUCUGCUAUUCGAUUCUGUUCGAACCAGAGGAGGAGAGGGGGCGGAGAUGCGCAGAUGGCAGCACGGCGGUGGGCUCGGGUUCGCGAGCAGCUCCGAUGCUUGUGGGCGUGCGACAACUUCAGGCGACAUACGACGCUACUGGUUGUCUCGGCGUCCUCCCAGAUCUGCGGGGCGUCGAGCAACCACCGAAGAAGAAGAAGAAGUAAUCGACGGUAGUAGAAGGGGGAAGAGGAAGGCGGAGGGCGGAGCAACGGCGAGAGCGAGGCAAAGCGGCGGCGGCGACUCCAGCUUCAGCUGCUGGCUGCAACGGCGAGCUGCUUCUGCUUCGCUGGUCUUUGGCUUCCAUGGUGUUGAGCAGCCGAAGAGGAAGAUGGGGGGGUGUUUUGGUCGACGGAGGAGAGAGGAGGAAGAAGAAAUCAAUUUCCCCUCUUCCUCUCACACACUCUCUCUCUUAGGUCAUCACACAUGGGCUACCAUGACAUCAUGUGAUGUCACCUUCCACUCACAAUUUCUUGUCAAUUCUACCCCUUCUAGAAGCCUUUAGAUAGGCCAAAAUGUGGGGGCAUGUGUGGCAUACGAAUUUGCUAGGUUUUCUUUCCAAUUGGGCCUUAAUUCCUCUUGAAUUAAACCAUUAAUUUAUGCAACACCUCAUCAUUCCAAUUGGUAUUUUUCCUUACCAAUGUAGCCCCACUUGCAUCCCAAUUUCACAAUCAUUGGCUUCAACCGAACAAAAGCGGCCCUAUUAUCCAGUCGAAUUUAGAAUUCGAAAAUCAGGAUGUCACACACGAGCCUCUUCAAGUUUGGCAUCUCAGCUGUUGCCGAUGCUUUCUCUGCAAAAUUGGUCUCAGGUAUGGAAUUUGAAGU